GGGCCCGCACAAGCGGUGGAGUAUGUGGUUUAAUUCGAUGCAACGCGAAGAACCUUACCAGGGCUUGACAUCCUGCGAACCUCUGGGAAACCGGAGGGUGCCUUCGGGAACGCAGUGACAGGUGGUGCAUGGCUGUCGUCAGCUCGUGUCGUGAGAUGUUGGGUUAAGUCCCGCAACGAGCGCAACCCACGUCUUUAGUUGCCAGCGAGUCAAGUCGGGAACUCUAGCCAGACUGCCGGUGCAAACCGUGAGGAAGGUGGGGAUGACGUCAAAUCAUCACGGCCCUUACGUCCUGGGCCACACACGUGCUACAAUGCUACGGACAAAGGGCAGCAAGUUCGUGAGGACAAGCAAAUCCCAUAAACCGUGGCUCAGUUCAGAUCGUAGGCUGCAACUCGCCUACGUGAAGGCGGAAUCGCUAGUAAUCGCAGGUU
RNAcentral lists this ribosomal RNA (434 nucleotides) under uncultured bacterium. RNAcentral describes it as "bacterial SSU rRNA". It matches the Rfam family "Bacterial small subunit ribosomal RNA", at positions 917 to 1350 of the family's 1533-position model. The record is from RNAcentral.